Hypomesus transpacificus is the source of this 751-nucleotide long non-coding RNA. RefSeq lists it as uncharacterized. Lineage: Eukaryota; Metazoa; Chordata; Actinopteri; Osmeriformes; Osmeridae. The transcript has 2 exons. The record is from RefSeq and is a predicted model, not a curated record.
CAAGUAUUUUAUUGUCAGAUGCACAGAACAACACAAGGUCAGAUGGGCACUGAAAUUCACAACAACGCAAAAGAACCUGGCAUGACAUAACAUAGAGGUACUCAGAACAUAGAUUACAUCUAUGAUAAGCUAAAAUAUAAUUAACCUCCUAAGUAUACAAAAUAGUAUACAAUAUACAAUACAGUAUACUAAACCUCUUAUACACAUACAAUGUGAAGGGCCUAAAGUGUCAGUUUGUCUGUUAUCACACCUACAAGCAAUGACUGUUCUGACCCCAGCGAGAUCCUCCCAGUAUUAUCUGACUAGAGGCAAAAAAGCAAGUAAGACAGCUUUCUGAUAAACAAAAGGUGACAAUUUGUCCUGUGUUCCUACACUCCUCCAUGUAACUUUCUCUCACUCCUAGAGGUGUGGGUCUCUCAACUCCAUUUACAAUAGACACAACCCAAAUCAUGUCAGGACAAAAGCAUUCCCAACAAGCCUACACAGCACCUACAAACAGGUUGAGGGACGUGGCCUGUUUUCCAGGGACUGAAGAAGAAUGUCACUCGUAUCUCUACAAUCUUUGAAGUGUUUCUGUUGAUGGUGGACUAAAGAGCGCUGAGGGACAAUCAUGCCAUGCGAAGAAAUAUCAACAAAACAUCUGAACAGUAUGAGGAAGUACAACAAUGGCUGCUCAAGGACUUCAACCCACCUCUUUUGUGAUCCACAUCAACGUUCAAAAGACGAGAGAAGGUUUCAUUGACUGGCGGAA